AUGCCGGAGCCCACCCGCCUCCUCGUCACCAAGGACAAGGACGGGAAGGAAACGUUCGAGCCCAACCCUCUCCAUCCCAUCUGGGUGCGGGAGGACCAGCAGGUGCUCGGCUACCUCCUUAACAACCUCUCCAAAGAUGUGCUCAUCACGGUGACCGCGGUCACCACCGUGCAUGCCCUCUGGGUGGCGCUCGCAGGCAUGCUGUUCUCCUCUCAAUCUUUGAGUCGUGUAAACAACAUUCGCACGACCUUGAUCAAUGCACAUAAGGGCAACCAAUCGGUUGCUGCAUACUUUGCUUCCAUGCGUGGUCUUGCUGAUGAACUCGCUGCGGUCGGCAAGCCCAUCCAGGAUGAUGAGCUCAUCUCCUACCUGUUGCAUGGGCUGGUCAUGGACUACCAGCCACUCGUCUCCGCCCUCGACGCCCACGUCACGCCGGUCUCCCUCGACGAGCUGUACGCCAUGCUGAGCAACUUCGAUCAGCGUGUCACCCAGUUUCACAGCACCGGAGGCGGCUUCAAGUCCUCUGCCAACGCGGCCACUCGCGGGCGCAGUGGGUACUCAUCUCGUCAUCGUGGUCCUCCUCAACACAAGGGCAAGCAAGGCGGUGGCAGCUCCAGCAACUCUGGUUCCCGCGGCGGACGCCCUAACUUUACCAACAACAAGGGUCGCCAUGACGGGGGCGGUAGCGGCGGCGGCAGCUCGGGCAGAUCACGACCCGAUGCAGUGUGUUGCCAGAUCUGCGGCAAGCCUGGACAUAGCUAA
This 762-nucleotide ribosomal RNA is filed under the name Triticum aestivum (bread wheat). Its description in RNAcentral is "partial small subunit ribosomal RNA". Lineage: Eukaryota; Viridiplantae; Streptophyta; Magnoliopsida; Poales; Poaceae. The record is from RNAcentral.